GCUUACGGCCAUACCAACCUGGCUAUGCCUGAUCUUGUCUGAUCUCGGAAGCUAAGCAGGUUUGGGCCUGGUUAGUACUUGGAUAGGAGACCUCCUGGGAAUACCAGGUGCUGUAAGCU
RNAcentral lists this ribosomal RNA (119 nucleotides) under Carassius auratus (goldfish). The record is from RNAcentral. Lineage: Eukaryota; Metazoa; Chordata; Actinopteri; Cypriniformes; Cyprinidae.